AGAGUUGACCAGGCAAUCGCUAUUGCCCUGCUUAUGGCAGCGGCGGUAGAGGAAAGUCCGGGCUCCAUAGGGCAGAGUGCCAGGUAACGCCUGGGAGGCGUGAGCCUACGGAAAGUGCAGCAGAGAAUAGACCGCCAAAGUCCUGGUUCGCCAGUUCAAUGGUAAGGGUGAAAAGGUGCGGUAAGAGCGCACCGCGCGACCGGUAACGGUUCGUGGCAGUGUAAACCCCACUCGGAGCAAGACCAAAUAGGAAUCCAUCGUUGCGGCCC
This 269-nucleotide RNase P RNA is filed under the name Pseudomonadales bacterium. RNAcentral describes it as "partial RNase P RNA component class A". It matches the Rfam family "Bacterial RNase P class A", at positions 1 to 256 of the family's 367-position model. Rfam says of the family: Ribonuclease P (RNase P) is a ubiquitous endoribonuclease, found in archaea, bacteria and eukarya as well as chloroplasts and mitochondria. Its best characterised activity is the generation of mature 5'-ends of tRNAs by cleaving the 5'-leader elements of precursor-tRNAs. Cellular RNase Ps are ribonucleoproteins. Lineage: Bacteria; Pseudomonadati; Pseudomonadota; Gammaproteobacteria; Pseudomonadales. The record is from RNAcentral.